Molecule: ribosomal RNA, 2009 nt
Filed under: Asterina mandaquiensis
Lineage: Eukaryota; Fungi; Ascomycota; Dothideomycetes; Asterinales; Asterinaceae
Description: partial large subunit ribosomal RNA
Rfam family: Eukaryotic large subunit ribosomal RNA
Source: RNAcentral
UGCCCUAGUAACGGCGAGUGAAGCGGCAACAGCUCAAAUUUGAAAUCCGGCGCCAGCGGUGCCCGAGUUGUAAUUUGCAGAGGGUGACUCGAGUCCGCCCCCCGUCUAAGUCCCUUGGAACGGGGCGUCAUAGAGGGUGAGAAUCCCGUGUGCGACGGGGCGGCGUGCCCAUGUGAGUCCCCUUCGACGAGUCGAGUUGUUUGGGAAUGCAGCUCUAAAUGGGAGGUAAAUUCCUUCUAAAGCUAAAUACCGGCCAGAGACCGAUAGCGCACAAGUAGAGUGAUCGAAAGAUGAAAAGCACUUUGGAAAGAGAGUUAAAAAGUACGUGAAAUUGUUGAAAGGGAAGCGCUCACGACCAGACUCGGGCGCGGCUGCUCAGCCGGUCUUUUGACCGGUGCAUCGGUCGUGCCCGGGCCAGCAUCGGUUCGGGCGGUCGGACAAAGGCGUCGGGAAUGUGGCUCCUCUCGGGGAGUGUUAUAGCCCGGAGUACAAUGCGGCCUGCCCGGACCGAGGACCGCGUUCGCUAGGAUGCUGGCGUAAUGGUCGUCAGCGGCCCGUCUUGAAACACGGACCAAGGAGUCUACCAUCUGUGCGAGUGUUCGGGUGUCAAACCCUUGCGCGUAAUGAAAGUGAACGGAGGUGGGAACCCUUUGGGUGCACCAUCGACCGAUCCAGAUGUCCUCGGACGGAUUUGAGUAAGAGCACCGCUGGUGGGACCCGAAAGAUGGUGAACUAUGCGCGGAUAGGGUGAAGCCAGAGGAAACUCUGGUGGAGGCUCGCAGCGGUUCUGACGUGCAAAUCGAUCGUCAAAUCUACGCAUAGGGGCGAAAGACUAAUCGAACCAUGAAAACGACUACUAGGUGGUUGAGAGCGAGUACCUCGUGGGUACUCACUUAGUCCCCCCGCUUCCGUGGGAAGGGCAACACCGUCAAACUGCGGGAACUCCUGUCAAGCGAUCCGGGUGACCGCCUUCCCGCCGAAAGGCGGAGAGCAGGCGCCGAGCGAAGCUGCUCGGGUAGGGUCAAAGCAACCCGCGCUCAGGUGAUCCGCAGCCCCGCCCGUAGGCUCGCCAGACACGGCCCGGGCGAGGGUUCAGAGACUAAACGACGGUGGGCACGGCUCGUGCCUGAGAGAUAGUCCGUCUGCCCCGAAACGGGGACAGAUACGGGCGUGGUACGCGCGCCCGAUGCCAGACGCUAGUAGCUGGUUCCUGCCGAAGUUUCCCUCAGGAUAGCAGUCACGUCUUCAGUUUUAUGAGUAGAGCGAAUGAUUAGAGGCCUUGGGGUUGAAACAACCUUAACCUAUUCUCAAACUUCGAAUAUGUAAGAAGCCCUUGUUACUUGAUUGAACGUGGGCAUUCGAAUGUACCGUGACUAGUGGGCCAUUUUUGGUAAGCAGAACUGGCGAUGCGGGAUGAACCGAACGUGAGGUUAAGGUGCCGGAAUGCACGCUCAUCAGACACCACAAAAGGUGUUAGUUCAUCUAGACAGCAGGACGGUGGCCAUGGAAGUCGGAAUCCGCUAAGGAGUGUGUAACAACUCACCUGCCGAAUGAACUAGCCCUGAAAAUGGAUGGCGCUCAAGCGUGCUACCCAUACCUCACCGUCGGGGCAGAAACGAUGCCCCGACGAGUAGGCAGGCGCGGGGGCCCGUGACGAAGCCCAGGGAGCGAUCCCGGGUCGAACGGCUCUCGGUGCAGAUCUUGGUGGUAGUAGCAAAUACUCAAAUGGGAACUUUGAGGACUGAAGUGGGGAAAGGUUCCGUGUGAACAGCAGUUGGACACGGGUUAGUCGAUCCUAAGCGAUAGGGUAGUUCCGUAAAAGUGCGCAAAUGCGCCGCGUCGCGAAAGGGAAGCCGGUUAACAUUCCGGCACCUGGAUGUGGAUUCUUCGCGGCAACGCAACCGAAGGCGGAGACGGCGGCUGGAGCCCUGGGUAGAGUUUUCUUUUCUGCUUAACGGCCCGCCACCCUGAAAACGGUUUGUCCGGAGCUAGGGUUCAAUGGCCGGUAG